This 286-nucleotide long non-coding RNA is filed under the name Brassica rapa (field mustard). RNAcentral describes it as "long non-coding RNA (BRAP_LNC001841)". The record is from RNAcentral. Lineage: Eukaryota; Viridiplantae; Streptophyta; Magnoliopsida; Brassicales; Brassicaceae.
ACAACGGUUAAGACAUCUUAGAUCUGAUCUGAACUGAACUGUGCGGUCAACGACCACAAAACUCUAGAUAUUAAUAACAAAGUUUGCGUACCAGUCGUAGACGGUGGGAGCGUUUGGGUGAGAGGGCUUGUCGAAGAGGUUAGUACCCAUUCCUCUGGUGGCGAUGUUACUUCCUGGAUGAAACACACUCCUCCACACGUUCUCUUUACGUGCAGAUCCUGGCGUCGUUGGAGUUCCAGGACUCCCGGCCACCGCAGGCAUAGCCUUGCUGCUGCUCCCUUCUCCU